GCCUUCGUGGUGUAAUUGGAAGCAUAACCGGCUCAUAUUCGAGAGGUCCAGGGUUUGAAUCCCGGCGAAGGCA
Molecule: transfer RNA, 73 nt
Filed under: Stegodyphus mimosarum
Lineage: Eukaryota; Metazoa; Arthropoda; Arachnida; Araneae; Eresidae
Rfam family: tRNA
About the family: Transfer RNA (tRNA) molecules are approximately 80 nucleotides in length. Their secondary structure includes four short double-helical elements and three loops (D, anti-codon, and T loops).
Source: Rfam by way of RNAcentral